This 318-nucleotide long non-coding RNA is filed under the name Eucalyptus grandis. Its description in RNAcentral is "long non-coding RNA (EGRA_LNC000593)". Lineage: Eukaryota; Viridiplantae; Streptophyta; Magnoliopsida; Myrtales; Myrtaceae. The record is from RNAcentral.
CUGUUCCAGUUUUCCAAAAGUUUAUGAAAACCACUUUUGGACAGAAGUUAGGUAUCGACAAAUUUUAACAAUUAAAUGAUUAUUUUUGAGCUAUUUAUACUUAUUUUGGUAACUCGAGAUUUCUUAAUUUUUGGAUGUGUGGAGCUGUCAGAAGAUCCUUUCCAGGUGUGGCUGUAACCACCUGCUUAUUGCUCACGUUUCGCCUCUUUGUAGAGGAAUGGUUUUGGAGGUUUUUUUUUUUUUGGUCUGAGAAUGGUUUUGGAGGUUCAAACACUAGGAUUUGUACCUGACUUCUGCUCCUUUUCAGAUUUUCCAUUA